ACAGCAGUAGCCGCGGUAAAACAGAGGGUGCGAGCGUUAAUCGGAUUUACUGGGCGUAAAGCGUGCGUAGGCGGCUAAUUGAGUCGGAUGUGAAAUCCCCGAGCUUAACUUGGGAAUUGCAUUCGAUACUGGUUAGCUAGAGUGUGGGAGAGGAUGGUAGAAUUCCAGGUGUAGCGGUGAAAUGCGUAGAGAUCUGGAGGAAUACCGAUGGCGAAGGCAGCCAUCUGGCCUAACACUGACGCUGAGGUACGAAAGCAUGGGGAGCAAACAGGAUUAGAUACCCGCGUAGUCCCUGUCUCUUAUAC
RNAcentral lists this ribosomal RNA (305 nucleotides) under uncultured bacterium. RNAcentral's name for it is "partial 16S ribosomal RNA". It matches the Rfam family "Bacterial small subunit ribosomal RNA", at positions 508 to 807 of the family's 1533-position model. The record is from RNAcentral.